RNAcentral lists this ribosomal RNA (240 nucleotides) under Triticum aestivum (bread wheat). Its description in RNAcentral is "partial small subunit ribosomal RNA". The record is from RNAcentral. Lineage: Eukaryota; Viridiplantae; Streptophyta; Magnoliopsida; Poales; Poaceae.
AUGCACUGGCAUGCAUGGGUUCAUCUUAUCAGGCCUAAGGCACAAGGCGGGUUGGGGUUCAGGGACCUUUGGCUGUUCAACCAGGCCCUACUUGCUCGCCAAGCAUGGCGACUCUUGACAAACCCAGACAGCCUUUGCGCGCUUGUCCUGAAGGCGAGGUACUAUCCUAACGGAAAUUUAGAUGACAAUGUUGUUUCAGGAGGUGCGUCGGUGACAUGGCAGGCUGUGCAACACGGCCUG